RNAcentral lists this ribosomal RNA (322 nucleotides) under uncultured eukaryote. RNAcentral describes it as "bacterial SSU rRNA". It matches the Rfam family "Eukaryotic small subunit ribosomal RNA", at positions 592 to 921 of the family's 1831-position model. The record is from RNAcentral.
CAAUAGCGUAUAUUAAAGUUGUUGCGGUUAAGAAGCUCGUAGUUGGAUUUCUGCCGAGGACGACCGGUCCGCCCUCUGGGUGAGUAUCUGGCUCGGCCUGGGCAUCUUCUUGGAGAACGUAGCUGCACUUGACUGUGUGGUGCGGUAUCCAGGACUUUUACUUUGAGGAAAUUAGAGUGUUUCAAGCAGGCGUGUGCCUUGAAUACAUUAGCAUGGGAUAAUGAUGUAGGACAUGAUCUACCAGUGGACUUUGGAGUCGAUGUAAUGAUAGAGAGGAAUAGUUGGGGGGUUCUCGUAUCACCACUUCAGAGGUGAAAUUCUU